RNAcentral lists this long non-coding RNA (263 nucleotides) under Gallus gallus (chicken). The record is from RNAcentral. Lineage: Eukaryota; Metazoa; Chordata; Aves; Galliformes; Phasianidae.
UUCUUGCCUUACUGCAUUCUCCUGCCAGACACUCAAGUGACUACUGAAAUAUGAAGUUACAACAGAACCAGAGAAAAUACUUUGUCAAAGUGCAAUAGAUUCUGAAAGAAUUUUUUUCAAGAGUUCUGUUGCAGGAAAGUUGAAAGAUUGAGGCUAACAGUGGAGACCAUACAGGCCACAGAGCUCACAUCUGAAGGCAUCACAGAGAACAAGAGGGACACAUCAGGAUUAUUACCCCUAGUAUGUCUUAUAUAAACUCCAUA